GGGCGAUUAGCUCAGAUGGUUAGAGUGCCUGCUUGACAUGCAGGAAGUCACUGGUUCAAUUCCAGUAUCGCCCACCA
Molecule: transfer RNA, 77 nt
Filed under: Gemmatimonadota bacterium
Lineage: Bacteria; Pseudomonadati; Gemmatimonadota
Also listed under: 3 other names
Description: Gemmatimonadetes bacterium tRNA-Val
Rfam family: tRNA
About the family: Transfer RNA (tRNA) molecules are approximately 80 nucleotides in length. Their secondary structure includes four short double-helical elements and three loops (D, anti-codon, and T loops).
Source: RNAcentral